GAAUAUUGGACAAUGGACGGAAGUCUGAUCCAGCCAUGCCGCGUGCAGGAAGACUGCCCUAUGGGUUGUAAACUGCUUUUAUCAGGGAAGAAAAUCCAAUACGUGUAUUGGGUUUCCGGUACCUGAGGAAUAAGCACCGGCUAACUCCGUGCCAGCAGCCGCGGUAAUACGGAGGGUGCGAGCGUUAUCCGGAAUUACUGGGUUUAAAGGGUGCGUAGGCGGCUUAAUAAGUCAGAGGUGAAAGGUGGCAGCUUAACUGUCAAAUUGCCUUUGAAACUGUUGAGCUUGAAUCAAGAUGAGGUUGGCGGAAUGUGACAUGUAGCGGUGAAAUGCAUAGAUAUGUCACGGAACACCGAAUGCGAAGGCAGCUGACUGGACUUCGAUUGACGCUGAGGCACGAAAGCGUGGGGAGCGAACAGG
RNAcentral lists this ribosomal RNA (420 nucleotides) under uncultured bacterium. Its description in RNAcentral is "bacterial SSU rRNA". It matches the Rfam family "Bacterial small subunit ribosomal RNA", at positions 359 to 776 of the family's 1533-position model. The record is from RNAcentral.